RNAcentral lists this ribosomal RNA (259 nucleotides) under uncultured prokaryote. RNAcentral's name for it is "partial 16S ribosomal RNA". It matches the Rfam family "Bacterial small subunit ribosomal RNA", at positions 524 to 782 of the family's 1533-position model. The record is from RNAcentral.
UACGUAGGUGGCAAGCGUUAUCCGGAAUUAUUGGGCGUAAAGAGCGCGCAGGUGGUUGAUUAAGUCUGAUGUGAAAGCCCACGGCUUAACCGUGGAGGGUCAUUGGAAACUGGUCGACUUGAGUGCAGAAGAGGGAAGUGGAAUUCCAUGUGUAGCGGUGAAAUGCGUAGAUAUGUGGAGGAACACCAGUGGCGAAGGCGACUCUCUGGUCUGUAACUGACGCUGAGGCGCGAAAGCGUGGGGAGCAAACAGGAUUAGA